Molecule: long non-coding RNA, 221 nt
Organism: Saccostrea cuccullata (small rock oyster)
Lineage: Eukaryota; Metazoa; Mollusca; Bivalvia; Ostreida; Ostreidae
Exons: 2
Source: RefSeq, a predicted model, not a curated record
UGGUGCUUCUCGCAAAAUUACGCGAUGAUUAAUUCCACAAGUAUAUUUAAGAUUUUAAAGUAGUCCUUGCAUUAGUAUUCGACUGAUUAGGGUUAGUCCUCGCACAUUAUUUGACUGAUUAGGGUUAGUCUAGCAUCUUCCCAAGAGAUUUCGUCUAAAUGUCUUAGUUCUUGCAUACCAUCUGCUAGAUUAGGGUUAGUGACUCGUUCUGUUAGAUAAUU